This 660-nucleotide unclassified non-coding RNA is filed under the name Hevea brasiliensis (rubber tree). The record is from RNAcentral. Lineage: Eukaryota; Viridiplantae; Streptophyta; Magnoliopsida; Malpighiales; Euphorbiaceae.
CAUGUCUUCAUCAGAUCUAUCAUCUCCAAUGCACAGCACAAAAUCAGCCUGUUUCCCGAUGUCAACCAUUGAUUUAAAAAUGUUUUCUGCAACCAGGCCUUUGCUGACUCCCUGAGGCUUGACUUCCACAAUAAAUUGACCACUCUUUACAGCAACAGGUUCAUUUGCUAAAACACUCUCCAGAUGAUCCAACAUCUCUUUUGCCUGCGCUGAUCCAAAAGUCAGGUCUGCAUCCCGAUAUUGCCAUACUAAAGCACUUUCCUUGGUUUCAAUGGAAGAACCAUCAGUAGCCUCAGUAUACAAUUUCAUUACAGGCUCAGCAAUCUGCCUCCAUCCAUAUUCAGAGCUUGGGCCAUAGGUUUUCCAGUCUUCACCCUGUGACCGCCUCAGAAAGUACCCAUGUUCUGCUGCAAUUCCAAGUUUCCUACAGGUAGAAAACCACUUGCUUAAGCUGUCUCUACUUCGUCCACUGACAAUGAAAACUGUAUUUUUCAGAUCCCCACAGAGUCUAUUCAGGAUUGAGAUAACAUCCUGACCUGGAGACUUACUGAUGGAGUUUUGGGACAUCAGAGUGCCAUCGUAAUCCAACAUUAUUGCCCUACUCUUAGCCCUUUCAGUAGCUAUCAUUGUUUCAGCUUACAAAAGGGCUAAGAGUAGGGC